AUUACGAUUUAUGGGAUUAAAGAGAUUUCGUAAUCCUCGAUCUGUGGAAGUCUGAGCUAGACUUACAUACACUGAGACCUGUGCCUGGGCAAAUAUGUUCAGUUAAAGCUAAUUCUAGUUAAGUUCACUUAAUACUGUGCAGCCGUUUUCCGCUGUGAAGGAGAUUUGAUUGUGGAUGCGCGAAGAAUUCCUAAAUACAGUAUGUGAAAAAAGCAAGGAUGGCAUUCCUUUGGCAGAGAGACUUGCACUUUUCAUUUUGUACCUUUCCAAACAGACUGAAGUUUUCUAAUCUCCCUUAUGUGUUACUGAAUAUAUUAACUGAGUACAUUAAGACAAAAAUGAAGAUUAGGAAGCGCCCAUCAAAAACCGGAUGUUUAUUCUUUGUCUGCUCUGUUUAACAGACUUGGAGGCUCUUUUGAAACAAAGAAACCCGGUCUUUCCUCUUUCAAUACACCAUAAUUAUUUGUUUUCUAAGCAAUAGCCAAGUUCAAAUAAGACUUGCAAUACUUUUGGAUCAAAAGCAAGUCAUAAACAAAACCUUAACUUUUUGAAGUAAACACAUUACACAUAAUUUCUGACUGAGUAUCAUGACCAUGGAAGAAAUAAUAGGCAUGUAUGUAAAAACAGAAGUAAAAGAAGAAGAAACAAUGUAAUUGACAGAGAGUUCAUAGCAAGGACAGAACGUGGGUCUCUCUUGGCUAAUGACAUUUUUAGCAUAACUGCACUAAAUCAAGUUUUGCUCCCAUAUUCACGUGUUAGGAGAAGAGACUGGGUAUGAAUCAGUUAUUAACAGAAUAGUCACACAGUUAGGAUGAAAUUUUACAUUCACCCUUAUACCUAGGGGGAAAAAAAAAUAUUGAAGGUCCUUUUUGCUGCGUUUCUGCCACUAGGAGGCUUCUGGUAUAAAGAAACAAAUAUAUAGCGUUCAAAAAAAAAAAAGAACACACUCAUGUUAAUCCAAGCACUACCAUUAAUUCAAGCUCUACCACUAACUAAUACAAAUAAGUUAAUUGAUUCAUUUCAUCUCAGGCAAGUGGUCAGAUGCAAUGGUGACUAGCACUAUGAGGUAAAGCCAUGGCCUUAUUCAAAUGGGUUGUAAGAGAACUAAUAUCUGAGUCAUAGUAUGAUCAAGACCCUGACUCUGAAUUUAAACUCAGGUCUUUGACUCCCCCACAUAGUGUUCAUUUGACCACUAAACACUGUGGGUUUUGAUUAUGAUGGUCAGAAGCUGGCUCUAUCUCCUUCUGGAAAACAUACAUAUUUUGACAGCAGUGUAUUGGUGUAUUCUAUUUAUUCUUUCUCAAAC
Dama dama (fallow deer) is the source of this 1306-nucleotide long non-coding RNA. RefSeq lists it as uncharacterized. Lineage: Eukaryota; Metazoa; Chordata; Mammalia; Artiodactyla; Cervidae. The record is from RefSeq and is a predicted model, not a curated record. The transcript is spliced from 3 exons.